RNAcentral lists this ribosomal RNA (465 nucleotides) under uncultured bacterium. RNAcentral describes it as "partial 16S ribosomal RNA". It matches the Rfam family "Bacterial small subunit ribosomal RNA", at positions 339 to 795 of the family's 1533-position model. The record is from RNAcentral.
CUACGGGGGGCACCAGUGAGGAAUUUUGCGCAAUGGGGGGAACCCUGACGCAGCAACGCCGCGUGAGUGAUGAAGGCUUUCGGGUCGUAAAGCUCUGUCAAGUGGGAAGAACCUAUGCAGUGUUAAUAUCACUGUAUACUGACGGUACCACUGAAGGAAGCACCGGCUAACUCCGUGCCAGCAGCCGCGGUAAUACGGGGGGUGCAAGCGUUAUUCGGAAUCAUUGGGCGUAAAGGGCACGUAGGCGGCUUGGUAAGUCAGAUGUGAAAGCCCGGGGCUUAACCCCGGAAGUGCAUUUGAUACUGUCAGGCUUGAGUAUGGGAGAGGGAAGUGGAAUUCCUGGUGUAGAGGUGAAAUUCGUAGAUAUCAGGAGGAACACCGGUGGCGAAGGCGACUUCCUGGACCAAUACUGACGCUGAGGUGCGAAGGCGUGGGUAGCAAACAGGAUUAGAUACCCUUGUAGUC